Molecule: long non-coding RNA, 217 nt
Filed under: Ricinus communis (castor bean)
Lineage: Eukaryota; Viridiplantae; Streptophyta; Magnoliopsida; Malpighiales; Euphorbiaceae
Description: long non-coding RNA (RCOM_LNC001767)
Source: RNAcentral
UGAACCCUAAUUUAGUAAAUCGUUUUUGCCUAUAUAGUCCCUUCAGUACGGUCGUGGUCAAGCCUGUGCUUAUCAGCACGGGCAGAGUCCAGGCCGUGUUGGAUCUAUGCGUUCAGCAUCUAUUGACCUCUUCCAAGCCGUGCCCUAGCCGGUGCUAAGCCACCACGGGCCGUGGUGGCUACGGUAAUCGUGCCAAAAUUGCACUCUUGGAUGGCAG